Molecule: ribosomal RNA, 1335 nt
Filed under: Triticum aestivum (bread wheat)
Lineage: Eukaryota; Viridiplantae; Streptophyta; Magnoliopsida; Poales; Poaceae
Description: partial small subunit ribosomal RNA
Source: RNAcentral
AUGGCGGCCGCCGCCGGCGGAACCAGCAGCGAGGGCGCGGCGCGCGUGCUGCUGCAGCGUUACCAGCCGUUCGGGUCGCCGCCUGGCGAGUACCACCAUUUCGGCCCGGCCGACGGCGGCGGCAGCGCCGACAUGACGGAGGCCGUCGUCCUCAGGACGCCAUUAAAGCGGAAACACAACAGAGAAGACAAUGAGGUAGCUGAAUCAAAUGAUUGGAUGAUGAGCCCUGGAUAUGCUAACGCAGCAAACAGUCCAAUUCCUACACCACCUUCGGGAAAAGGUUCUAAAAUGUCCGCCAAGCCUAAAGCUGCAAAAGGCCAGAAAUCUUGUCCUCAGACCCCUUUGUUUUCCGGUUCUCCGGGCAAUCCAGCUACUCCUGUUGGUGGCUGCCGUUAUGAUAGCUCCCUAGGGUUAUUGACAAAAAAGUUCCUGAACUUGCUAAAGGGUGCACCUGGUGGCAUGGUUGAUUUGAAUAAUGCUGCAGAAACGCUAGAGGUACAAAAAAGACGUAUAUAUGACAUUACUAAUGUCCUCGAAGGGAUAGGGCUGAUAGAAAAGAAGCUUAAGAACAACAUUCGUUGGAAAGGAAUCGAUGACUCUCGACCAGGUGAAGUUAGCGAUGAUAUGUCCAUUUUACAGGGAGAUAUUGAAGCCCUCACACUGCAAGAGCAUAGCUUAGACGGACAAAUAAGUGAAAUGCGAGACAAGUUAAGAGAGCUCACUGAAGAUGAAAAUAACCAAAAAUGGCUGUAUGUCACAGAAGAUGAUAUCAAGUCUUUGCCAUGCUUUCAGAAUCAGACACUAAUCGCAAUAAAAGCACCUCAUGGUACAACGCUUGAAGUCCCAGAUCCUGAUGAGGUGAAUGAUUAUCCUCAAAGGAGAUAUAGGAUUGUUCUAAGAAGCACUAUGGGUCCGAUAGAUGUGUACCUAGUUAGUCAAUUUGAGGAGAUGAGUGGCAUGGAGACUCCUCCAAGGCCUGCACAAACAAUAAGCAUGGAUUAUCUAGAGAAUCCUAGGACACCACUCGCUACAGGAUCUAACAAAGAUGUGGAGAUGGAGAAUGUUCAACAAGGGCUGAUAAUGCCCCCUGACGCUCCUACUACACAUGAUAUUGGAGGGAUGAUGAAGAUUGUCCCUUCUGAACUUGAUACUGAUGCGGAUUACUGGCUCUUAUCAGACACAGGGGUUAGCAUUACUGACAUGUGGAAGACAGCACCAGAUGUGGAGUGGGAAGGAAUCGACAUCAACGCCGAGGAUUUCCUGGAAGUUGGCACACCUCGGCAGCAAGAGCAGCCGCCCUCUGAAAUGGUGGAUCACCCCUCGUGCAUUAGCUGA